AUUUAUAUAAUACAACAACCAAAAAAAAAAACUAAGGGUCGUUCAUCGCCCGGUAGAAUUCAUCACUCCUCCUCGUAACAUCCGCCUCGUUAUGUACGUCGGAUGACUCGCCUUGAAUGGGAUGUUGUUGUCGCAUGUUCCUCAACAUGGACUCUCAUUCCGGAUUUGUGGCCGCAAUAACGUCCAAGAAGCCCUCGACUCCACCCAUACGAGAUUUUGUCGCGGUCAACUCGUUACGCAGCUGAGCGGACUCUCUACGCAGCUCCGUGACUUCAUCAUCCCGUCGCUGACCAUAAGACGAUGUCGCUCUCGGAACAUCUUUGACGGAACCAAUACCCAAC
RNAcentral lists this long non-coding RNA (341 nucleotides) under Brassica napus (rape). RNAcentral's name for it is "long non-coding RNA (BNAP_LNC024045)". The record is from RNAcentral. Lineage: Eukaryota; Viridiplantae; Streptophyta; Magnoliopsida; Brassicales; Brassicaceae.